CCUACGGGUGGCAGCAGUGAGGAAUAUUGGUCAAUGGACGAGAGUCUGAACCAGCCAAGCAGCGUGCAGGAUGACUGCCCUAUGGGUUGUAAACUUCUUUUGUAUGGGAGUAAAUUGUUCUACGUGUGGGAUGUUGUAUGUACCAUAUGAAUAAGGAUCGGCUAACUCCGUGCCAGCAGCCGCGGUAAUACGGAGGAUCCGAGCGUUAUCCGGAUUUAUUGGGUUUAAAGGGAGCGUAGAUGGGUCGAUAAGUCAGUUGUGAAAGUCCGCGGCUCAACCGUAGAAUUGCAAUUGAUACUGGCGGGCUUGAGUACAGUUGCGGUAGGCGGAAUUCGUGGUGUAGCGGUGAAAUGCAUAGAUAUCACGAAGAACACCGAUUGCGAAGGCAGCUUACUAAACUACGACUGACGUUGAUGCUCGAAAGUGUGGGUAGCAAACAGGAUUAGAUACCCCAGUAGUC
RNAcentral lists this ribosomal RNA (460 nucleotides) under uncultured bacterium. RNAcentral's name for it is "partial 16S ribosomal RNA". It matches the Rfam family "Bacterial small subunit ribosomal RNA", at positions 338 to 795 of the family's 1533-position model. The record is from RNAcentral.